AGAAGUUAAGGCAGUCAGAGAAGGAAAUUUUUAGAAAAAUAUCAAAGAAUAUUCACAGGACGUCCCUGAGGGGCUGUGGCGUUACGAAACCAUUAACAGAAGGAGGUUGUUCACAUUAUUUUCGUAGAUGGCUUCAAAGGAUUGGUUAGGUGUUCCUCCAACCAAGUAAUAUUAUUUUAAAUUUGAUUCAAUUGAAGAUUAUUCCAUAUACUGGGAGACCAUAAAAUCCAGGCAAUUCAGGAUUUGAGCUGCUUCCACAACCAUUGCACCUAACAUAUCAGCUUUGACAUUAAGGGCUGUUUUUUUAAGCUCAGCUACGUUCUUGGCUAAUUGAAUUGAUUAUAUAAAACUUAGGAGCUUUUUCUUGCUUCUGCAUCAUGGUUUCUCCAAGGAUCCAGUGCUUCUCUGAUUGCCUGAGCUUCAGGGGAGCUCUCCCAUGCCCGCUUCUCUGACUCCAGAACAGUCACUUUAUCAUAGAAACCGGUCUUGAUCAUGAACAACUCCAUGGAAGCUCCAAUCAAAGCAGAACCUACUGCUAUUUUCACAUACCAAUCCAGAAACUUCAUUCCCCGUAUACAGACAAUCUUCCACUUCUUCUAUUUCUUCUGUUUUUUCUUCUCUGGUGUGAUUUGUGUGACUGGUCGCUGGAAGCUCGAGGGAACCGAAUCAAAUUGUUGCUAGAGCUUCGUGUCUGACCGUCGAAUUUGUCGUCGGAUGUUAUGGGAGUUGAAGCCUGAAGCUGACUAGAAAAGAGGGAAGGGAAUGACUGAAUUAGGGUUAAUGGAAAAGGGCAUUGGGAA
Molecule: unclassified non-coding RNA, 800 nt
Filed under: Hevea brasiliensis (rubber tree)
Lineage: Eukaryota; Viridiplantae; Streptophyta; Magnoliopsida; Malpighiales; Euphorbiaceae
Source: RNAcentral